This 397-nucleotide ribosomal RNA is filed under the name uncultured bacterium. Its description in RNAcentral is "partial 16S ribosomal RNA". It matches the Rfam family "Bacterial small subunit ribosomal RNA", at positions 523 to 918 of the family's 1533-position model. The record is from RNAcentral.
AUACGUAGGUAGCAAGCGUUGUCCGGAUUUAUUGGGCGUAAAGCGAGCGCAGGCGGUUUCUUAAGUCUGAUGUGAAAGCCCCCGGCUUAACCGGGGAGGGUCAUUGGAAACUGGGAGACUUGAGUGCAGAAGAGGAGAGUGGAAUUCCAUGUGUAGCGGUGAAAUGCGUAGAUAUAUGGAGGAACACCAGUGGCGAAGGCGACUCUCUGGUCUGUAACUGACGCUGAGGCUCGAAAGCGUGGGGAGAAAACAGGAUUAGAUACCCUGGUAGUCCACGCCGUAAACGAUGAGUGCUAAGUGUUGGAGGGUUUCCGCCCUUCAGUGCUGCAGCUAACGCAUUAAGCACUCCGCCUGGGGAGUACGGCCGCAAGGUUGAAACUCAAAUGAAUUGACGGGG